Long non-coding RNA from Propithecus coquereli (Coquerel's sifaka), 389 nucleotides. RefSeq lists it as uncharacterized. The transcript has 3 exons. The record is from RefSeq and is a predicted model, not a curated record. NCBI's taxonomy places the organism in Eukaryota, Metazoa, Chordata, Mammalia, Primates, Indriidae.
AAGAAGCCUUGUGCAAGUGGACUCCCAUUUUUUUAAAUGUUUCUUGAUAUUCAGGACACUAUGGAGCCUUGGAUCAGUGAGUUACUCUGCCAGCGAGAGGAUGAGACCCUGCAGCGUGUGUUUACUCGUUCAGACACAUUUACCGAGCCCCUAGCACGUAUGGCGCUGGGAACGGACACGGUCCACAGGAGGCACGGGGUGCCACGUGGCAUAGCGGUCGAGGGCGCGGAAUCUGGGCGCAGCUCUUUGGCUUCAAAUCCCUGCCAGACGCGCAGGGCAGGCGGCAGGAGGGGAGAGAUCUGGAGCAAAGGUGGAAGGCCCGGAAGACACUUCGGCGUGGGAGCCGCAGGGGCGGAGUCGAGCGUGGCUGCAGGUGCUGACUCUGAAGU